GAUGAACGCUGGCGGCGUGCCUAAUACAUGCAAGUCGAGCGAACAGACGAGGAGCUUGCUCCUCUGACGUUAGCGGCGGACGGGUGAGUAACACGUGGAUAACCUACCUAUAAGACUGGGAUAACUUCGGGAAACCGGAGCUAAUACCGGAUAAUAUAUUGAACCGCAUGGUUCAAUAGUGAAAGACGGUUUUGCUGUCACUUAUAGAUGGAUCCGCGCCGCAUUAGCUAGUUGGUAAGGUAACGGCUUACCAAGGCAACGAUGCGUAGCCGACCUGAGAGGGUGAUCGGCCACACUGGAACUGAGACACGGUACAGACUCCUACGGGAGGCAGCAGUGGGGAAUCUUCCGCAAUGGGCGAAAGCUUGACGGAGCAACGCCGCGUGAGUGAUGAAGGUCUUCGGAUCGUAAAACUCUGUUAUUAGGGAAGAACAAAUGUGUAAGUAACUAUGCACGUCUUGACGGUACCUAAUCAGAAAGCCACGGCUAACUACGUG
Molecule: ribosomal RNA, 497 nt
Filed under: uncultured bacterium
Lineage: Bacteria
Description: partial 16S ribosomal RNA
Rfam family: Bacterial small subunit ribosomal RNA
Source: RNAcentral